This 95-nucleotide microRNA precursor is filed under the name Canis lupus dingo (dingo). Its description in RNAcentral is "mir-8799 microRNA precursor family". It matches the Rfam family "mir-8799 microRNA precursor family". Lineage: Eukaryota; Metazoa; Chordata; Mammalia; Carnivora; Canidae. The record is from Rfam by way of RNAcentral.
GGGGGGAGCGCAGGAUCCUGGGCUGUGUCCCCCAGUGCCCUGGGCUCUGAGGUCUGCACCACUGGAAUCUGGCUCCCAGGGCCACGCAGCCCCCU